UUGGAGGGCAAGUCUGGUGCCAGCAGCCGCGGUAAUUCCAGCUCCAAUAGCGUAUAUUAAAGUUGUUGCAGUUAAAAAGCUCGUAGUUGAAUUUCGGGAUCAAUGCGUCGGUCGUUCCUUCGGUACGUACUAGCGUCAUUGAUUCCUCCCUUCUGAAGAACCGUGAUGUCAUUAAUUUGGUGUUACGGGGAAUCAGGACUGUUACCUUGAAAAAAUUAGAGUGUUUAAAGCAGGCUAACGCUUGAAUACAUUAGCAUGGAAUAAUGAAAUAGGACGUUCGAACCCAUUUUGUUGGUUUCUAGGAUCGACGUAAUGAUUAAUAGGGAUGGUUGGGGGCAUUAGUAUUCAAUUGUCAGAGGUGAAAUUCUUGGAUUUAUUGAAGACUAACUACUGCGAAAGCAUUUGCCAAGGAUGUUUUCAUUAAUCAAGAACGAAAGUUAGGGGAUCGAAGACGAUCAGAUACCGUCGUAGUCUUAACCAUAAACUAUGCCGACUAGGGAUCGGAUGAUGUUAAUUUUUUAAUGACUCAUUCGGCACCUUACGGGAAAC
This 549-nucleotide ribosomal RNA is filed under the name uncultured Glomus. RNAcentral's name for it is "SSU rRNA". It matches the Rfam family "Eukaryotic small subunit ribosomal RNA", at positions 548 to 1098 of the family's 1831-position model. Lineage: Eukaryota; Fungi; Glomeromycota; Glomeromycetes; Glomerales; Glomeraceae. The record is from RNAcentral.